GGAAGUUGGGAGAAGGGUGAGGUGAUGAGUUCAAGAUUUUUUUAUGUUGAUUCGGCUGAUCUGGCUGGCUAGGCGGGUGUCCCCUUCCUCCCUCACCGCUACAUGUGCGUCCCUCCCGAAGCUGCGCGCUCGGUCGAAGAGGACGACCAUCCCCGAUAGAGGAGGACCGGUCUUCGGUCAAGGGUGUACGAGUAGCUGCGCUCCCCUGCUAGAACCUCCAAACAAGCUCUCAAGAUUUUUUUAUGUUAUUUCACUUUAGAAUUGUGCUGUAUUUAGGGUGACUGUACAUCCUGGUUUAUAUCUGUUGUGCCAACAUAGUUAUUAA
Molecule: unclassified non-coding RNA, 325 nt
Organism: Bison bison bison
Lineage: Eukaryota; Metazoa; Chordata; Mammalia; Artiodactyla; Bovidae
Gene: 7SK
Rfam family: 7SK RNA
About the family: 7SK was discovered as an abundant small nuclear RNA in the mid-70s but a possible function has only recently been suggested. Two independent studies have found that 7SK RNA binds the CDK9/cyclin T complex (known as elongation factor P-TEFb). P-TEFb activates transcription by phosphorylating the C-terminal domain of RNA polymerase II.
Source: Ensembl